CCAGAACUCCUAUUUGCUCUGCAAGUGCUUUAGAUGGGGUCUCUCCGCUGUGAGUCCAAAAGGCGUUUGGAAUUCUUUCUUUCCAUCCCUGCUCCUAUACUCUCUCAAGGCUUCAUGCUACCGUUGCUCUUAAUGCCACAAGGAAAGAGAUGAGUGCCAAGGAUCAGUUUAUUGGGUAAUGCAUCUAUUUAUAGGUUUGGUGAGAUUGGGAAUUUAUAGGUGAGCAACACUUGAGGGUGGCGUUAAACACAGCUGUGAGUUUGGAAGAGAGGAAACAGGUUUGUACCUGUGACCAUUUAGUAUGCUCCGCACCUGUGCCCUCCACUUCCCACCUGACGCCAGGAAAAUCCUCUGCCCCUCACUUCGAAGGCCGGGGACCCCGGGACCUCUGAGGCUCUGGAAACACCUUCUGGCCUCCCUGUAAGUAGGUGUGGUGGGAGACUAAGUCUAUGCCCUGCAGAAGAAGAAAUGAAUGGAGAGCUUACUAGUUUCAGCCUGUCAACAGUCAACACAAAAAUGUAAGAGGCGAAAAAAAAGUAACCCUGGAAAUUGUCUGGGUUAGCCGUCCUGACAUAUCCUAAUCAAAGACAUCUUAUUGCAAAGACAUCCUGUCUCAGUUAAUUAAUCUCAAAAACAGAAGAACGAAUUCUUGCCCAGAAAUCACUCAAGAGUUGCUGUGAAGAUCAAGCAAGAUUAUGUAUGGGGACAGCACCUUACAUUGUCAAGUGCUGUGCCAAGGUCAGACGUCAUUAUUGGAGUGACUAAUUGGGCUAUUACGAAUAUCACUCUUUGUCUUGUCUUGUGUAGACACAAAGUCAACAGAUUCUGUUAGCAGAGAGUUAGAUAAGGCUGUCAUAGGAUUUGAAAUGAAAGUAAUGGUACACUUCUUCCUUAAGAUAGCCUUCUGCCCGUCGCUUGUCACCCAGCCUGGAACCGUGAUUUCUUAAACCCUAGCUCCGUCUAGUGGUUCUUUGUUCUAUUACAAAUGAGACAACAGUGGUUGAAGAGAACUUGACUCUGAAAUGUGUUUGCUACUGAGCUGAGUCGGUUUGUUGCCUACCCACUUCAUUUUAAUAAGUUCAUUUAAAUAAGGUUUUUAAGGUUGUGUUAUUGCACAAACAUGCCAAAGGAAGAUUUUUCAUGAAAAUAUUAAAAACCCAUCAAGAAACCUCAUAAUCCUGCUUGUGAAAGGAAGAUAAAAUAAUGCAGAGGGGAAAACUAUCAGAGAGAAUUAAUAUAGUUUCUCAGGUUUUAAUGAGCUUGCAUGUGCUACAGCUUAGAUAAAAAAGGAAACAGAUGAUUUUAGUUUGAGAUGAGAGAUGUUAAAGUCCUGGUGGACUACCAGAUAAGAAAAAGAAACAAGGCGAUGUCUUCCAUUUGAAGUGUACUACCGAAGAAGAUCUCAACAUGUACUGUGCUUGUGUGUCUGUGCGUGUGUGUGUGCGUGUGUGUGUGUGCGUGUGUCUGUGCGUGUGUGUGUGUCUGUGCGUGUGUGUUGGUACCUUUUUGAAUAUUAAAAUUUUGGGUAGCCCACUUGAAGAAAUUAAGAUCUAAAACGAAGUAGUGCUACUACAAAGUGUUCUUUUUUUAAAGUUUUCAACCUCUAGAUUGUGUGCCUUAACACGAUGACAUUAUUUUAUAUCUUUUUGCUUAAGUAAGACUGGAUGCUUAUAAAAGCACUGUUAUAUUGUGUUAUGGCACUUUAAGUACUUGCUUAGAAAUGAUCAUUUCUUUAUUGUGUGCUUCUUAAGAAUGUUUCUGGUCAGUCACCUUUCCUUUCGAGGUCUUCCUUAUUCAAACUAACGUGGGUUUUAGGUUAAGAUCACAGUCAUUACCUGGGGAUGCAAGAGGAAGAUAAUUACUAUGUGAACAGCUGUUUUGCCAUAAAAAAAAAUGCUGAAGAUGUUCAUGGAUUUUUAAAUAAAGUAAAUAUUGAAGAGUUAAAUUGUUAAAAAGUCAGCAAUCUUUCAUCACAAUGUGACAGUGUGUCCUAUAGUCUGUGGAGGUACACCCAGUUCUUCCCUCAUUCCCUUGGUUCACUCACAACAUAUCUGACUGUAGGAAUAGAAUCACAUUCUGCCCUGUCCACAGCCACAUUCUCAAUAUUUACAGGUAAAGGUGGCACAUGCUCCAGUAAACACUCCCUCUUUCUUGGUGCUAGUUAACAAAUAAUGGUGGCACAUGCUCCAGUAAACACUCCCUCUUUCUUGGUGCUAGUUAACAAAUAAUGGUGGCACAUGCUCCAGUAAACACUCCCUCUUUCUUGGUGCUAGUUAACAAAUAAUGGUGGCACAUGCUCCAGUAAACACUCCCUCUUUCUUGGUGCUAGUUAACAAAUAAUGGUGGCAUAUGUUCCAGUAAACACUCCCUCUUUCUUGGUGCUAGUUAACAAAUAAUGGUGGCACAUGCUCCAGUAAACACUCCCUCUUUCUUGGUGCUAGUUAACAGGAUACUGUGCUUUUCACCUAUUACUUGCCACCUUCUGUUCCCUCCUUGACAUUCACUUCCAGCACCUGCUCAACUUAAAGUUCUGUCUGAAAUCUGCCUCUGUAAUAUAAGAAUCUCAGUUAGAAUACGCUUUAAUCUUACAAAUUUGUUAAGUCUUGGUAACAGAUUUGUGAAGAAUUCACAAUAGGCCAAUGUACCUUGGCAAACUAGUUGAGAACGCCUAUGUUUUUGCAUCAUAACAGACAAAGCCACUCCUUCAUUUAAAGGGAAACUUUAAUAACUGUGACAAGAGUUUCAAUUCAACUGCCUCUAUCCUUCCUAAAGAAAAUGUAGCCCAUUUUCUGCAGGGGUACAGAGUUCAGAUACAGAGUCUGAAAUAACUUCUAAAAUUUGACUCUACCGUUUCUAGGCAUCCGUCCUCCUCAGUGGCUUUCCUCCUGUAUCACUCAGCAUUUUGUUUACCCCUCAGCUGUAAGAUGUGUUUAUGUCUGUAUCACAUAGUAGAUGGUGAGCUCCUCAAAACAAAGACAAACUACAACAAUCUUUGUUCUCAUAAAUGCUAUUAAGCUACACUGUAAUUAGCGAGUUCACAAAAGUAAUAGAUUGUGAUGGAGUCAUAAUGCUGUAGAGAGAAUAUGGAGACGGAGGUCUGCAGACGGGCUGGGAAAACAGUCCAGGAGAUGACAGGAAAGUCUCUCCCCCCAGCAACGACAACAAGUCUAUCAAAUGAAGAGGGUGACUAUGCCACACAUCAGAAGGGGCAAAUGGCAUCAUGUAAAGACAGGAACUUCAUUUUUCCUUCCAUUAAGACCACAAGGUGUGGGUGACAGAUUUUAGAAAGCCAGGAAUGUCUCUGACAUAGGAAAUUGCCUAUGAGUCCUAGAAGGCCUGGGAGCUGGAAGGGACAGGCCAGGGAGGCAUCAUCAUUAGCAACUUAAGAGGAGGAGAAACUGAACAUAGAGGCAACUUUACUACUCAGCCACCAUGAACAAAAUAUCUAAAAGUGAAGGAAUUUGCAGCAUGACACAUUUCAGCUUCUACAGUCCAAUGACUGACUUAUUAUAUGUAAUUUCUGUUAACAAAACUUCUAUUCUAAUAAACUUACAGGAUGAAUAUGGGGAAGACUAUAUCCAUUGACGAAAAUGAUUCCCUACUAUAGAUGUCUUUCCCCUGGGUUGGGAGAAGAGACAGAAUCUGCCUUAAUGGAAAUCCUAGCUGAAUCUAAUUAACUGGGGGAAAAAAAUGCACUUAUGCAGGUCUACACUCACCCAUGGCUAACCCAAUAGACAGUGUGAAGCAUUUGUAGAAUUGAGUUAUAGCCUUCUAAGUGCCCUAAGCUAUUCUUUCUCAUUUCCUCUAAACAAAAAAGAAAAGGAUCUUUUAUCACACUCUUCCCUCAGUGGGAAAUAAUUAAAAGUGAUUUACAAGAGUCUCAUUUUAUUAU
Callithrix jacchus (white-tufted-ear marmoset) is the source of this 3892-nucleotide long non-coding RNA. RefSeq lists it as uncharacterized. The record is from RefSeq and is a predicted model, not a curated record. Lineage: Eukaryota; Metazoa; Chordata; Mammalia; Primates; Cebidae.